UACCCACAUCUCCUGUGCACCCACCUG
RNAcentral lists this non-coding RNA (27 nucleotides) under Mus musculus (house mouse). The record is from RNAcentral. Lineage: Eukaryota; Metazoa; Chordata; Mammalia; Rodentia; Muridae.